Molecule: ribosomal RNA, 409 nt
Filed under: uncultured eukaryote
Lineage: Eukaryota
Description: bacterial SSU rRNA
Rfam family: Eukaryotic small subunit ribosomal RNA
Source: RNAcentral
AUUGACGGACUGAAGGCUCUUUCUCGAUUCCGUGGAAAGUGGUGCAUGGUCCGUUUUUGGUUGGUGGAUCGAUCCGUCUGGUUAAUUCCGUUAACGAACGAGACCUCGGCACUCCGAAUAGCGCGGCGGACGUCGCGGCCUCCGGGCCGUCUUCCGCACGAGCUUCUUAGAGGGACCGUCCCCCGCCGGGGAAGGAGGUGCGAGGCAACGACAGGUCUGUGAUGCCCUUAGAUGUUCUGGGCCGCACGCGCAUUACACUGACGCGUCCAACGGGUGACUCCCGACCCGAAGGGGCCGGGGAAUCCGCAAGGCGCGUCGUGAUGGGGAUUGAACGUUGCAAUUGUUGUUCACGAACGAGGAAUUCCUAGUAGGCGCGGGUCAUCAACCCGCGCCGAUUACGUCCCUGCCC